This 2004-nucleotide long non-coding RNA is filed under the name Theobroma cacao (cacao). RNAcentral describes it as "long non-coding RNA (TCAC_LNC001098)". The record is from RNAcentral. Lineage: Eukaryota; Viridiplantae; Streptophyta; Magnoliopsida; Malvales; Malvaceae.
AAUCAUAAAUUCAUAAUGGCAUCAUCCACAAAUAUUUUCAUAAAUAGAUUAACAAAUUAUUCUUAAUGUUUUACAUUAAAUAUUCAUAUACACAUAAUUAGACCUUGACCGUCAGCGGAGUGACUCUGGUCACGAUUGAUAACACUUAGUGUCACGUUAAACCUACCGAGCAAUGUAUAGGGAGGAGCACCUCGUCCUAAGAUCCAACCACCUUUAACUCAGGAAACCUAAAACAUGAAUUUUAAAAAUAACGUGAGUACCAACUCAAUGAGUGAACAUAAGAGAGGAACAAGCAACAUUAAGGAAGGUUUUAGAAAACAUGAUGUACUUUUUUCAAAAAUAAUGCAAUUGAAUUAAUUUUUUACUAAAAACCCUCAUUCAAACCCUUGGUCAUUUAGUCAUUUGAUGACAAAAAACUUAUGAACAACAAAGAAGUUGAGAAGUGAAAACUUUAGUAGAAGUCAAACAAGUCAAGCAUAAUAGAUUGACUCUCACCGCAGCGAGAAGGCAUUCUCGCUGCAAUGAAAUUCUGGCCAGAUAAAAUCCAAGAGGCUUUCACUGCCAUCAGGAAACUUUCACUCAUGCCACAUUGCACAUUAAAUUGAACACAUUGACAAUACUCAAGCUUUCAAUAGUCAAUGCAAUCACAUAUUAAAUCCAAACAUCUCUAAACAGUAAACAUAUAUAUAUAUAAGCACAUACACCACCAUCACUUCACCCGGCUCAUGCACAUCCCCCCACAUCGUGCACAUAGCCGAACACCCCAUCGCAGCUAACUCAUGUGCAUCACUACCGGCAUGUGCACUGCCCACUCUACACAUAAACGGUUGUAAUUAUCACGACAUUGUCAUUCAACUGGCAUGUGCACUGUCCAUGCCGCACAUGCACGAUUAAAUUAUCACAACAUUGUCAUUCAACCGGCAUGUGCACUACCCACUCCGCACAUGCACGGUUACAAUUAUCACAACAUUGUCAUUCGAUCGACAUGUGCACUGCCCACUCUGCACAUGCAUGGUUACAAUUAUCACACAAUGGUACCAUUUAUGACAUAGUAUAUAUAUAUAUAUAUAUAUAUAUAUAUAUAUAUAUAUAUAUAUAUAUAUAUAUAUAUAUAUAUANAUCUUAAUACAUUUUUACCAAAAUUACUUAUAUCCAUUGCUUACGAAAUUCCUUAGAUUAUAUCACCGGCAACUUAUUAAUGAUGUCAGGUGCCUACUUCAACCUUUCUAAAUAAUUUCUGCCCAAAUCCAUCUUAUAUUUUCACACAUAAUCCACAUAUAUGGUAGCAACAAUCAUUCUCACUUUCACUCGAUUAUUUCCUAGUUUACAUGCAUCGUUAUAUAUCGAACUUUCAAUACUUUGUUUCUCAAUCCUCCAUCCACAAUAUUCCUUUUUCAUUUCUUUCAAACAACAUGCCAUACAAUCUUAAUAAAUUUCAACUAACUUAGGCAAAUAAAUCCUUUCAACAACCAUAAUUCCUCACAAUAUUCAACUAACCAUAGGCUCUAAAACAUAGUGUUAAGCUUACCGUUUUCCUUUUCUACUUUGAGUCCUUCAUGUACCCAUGGGUUUAUUGGCUUACAUGUUACCAAUUUUUCUCCAAUCAAGCCAAUCUUUGCUGCCACAAGACAUUUCUCUAAGUCACUAACUCAUUUUCAAAGACUACGCAAGCCAAAAACAAGAAUUCUUACCGUUCCUUGCUUGAAUCACCAAAACCAAGCUCUUUCUUCCUUUCUCUCUUUUUCUUUCUUCUCCUCCUAAGGUUUAUAUGUGCUGGAAAUUGGGGUUAAAGGCCGUAAAUUUAGUGCUCAAGAAGUUUGGAGAAGAAAGGAAAAGAAAACAUGGAAAGGAAAAUGAAGAAAACUUGGUUUCAUGGUGGACAAAGAGAAAAUGGCAUGGAAGCUUCAAGAAUGUUGUGGAGCAUGGAGGAGAAGAGGAAAAAAUCUUGCUGGAGGAUAUAAGAAUGGUUUUGGGUGGAAAAAAUCAGAGUCAAAGAUUCCUUCG